GAAGUUACGGGGGGGGGAAUUGUCUGGAAGUAAAAGUCGUAACAAUGUUUCCGUAGGUGAACCUGCGGAAGGAUCAUUGUCGAAACCUGCAAAGUAGACCCGUGAACAUGUUUUUAACUUGAAUGGUGACUCGGCAGGGAUGCGCAAGCCCCAUGUUUAGAUCACCAUGCUUGCUUGACGUUCACGUCUUGUGGGCUAACGAACCCCGGCGCGGCAUGCGCCAAGGAAAACUUAAAGAAGCGUUGCCCCUGUGACCCCCGUAUGCGGUGCGGUCUUGGGAUGCAAUGUCUCUCAAAUGUCUAAACGACUCUCGGCAACGGAUAUCUCGGCUCUCGCAUCGAUGAAGAACGUAGCGAAAUGCGAUACUUGGUGUGAAUUGCAGAAUCUCGUGAACCAUCGAGUCUUUGAACGCAAGUUGCGCCCGAAGCCAUUAGGUUGAGGGCACGCCUGCCUGGGCGUCACACAUCGCGUCGCCCCCUCUAAAUCCAAUUUUGAAGGGGUGKRGGUUGGUCUCYCUGUGCAUCAUUGUGUGCCCCCCUGGCCCAAAAAAGAUCCCUUAUUGACGGUUGUCAUGACUAGUGGUGGUUGAAAACUCAAUCGUGCUGUCGUGCCUGACAUCGUUGUUUAUAGGGGCAUCAAAAUGACCCAAUGGUACAAAUAGUGCCUUCGACCGCGACCCCAGGUCAGGCGGGACCACCCGCUGAGUUUAAGCAUAUCAAUAAGCGGAGGAAAAGCUUCAAUAUAUAGUAAUAUCCAAUAAACGAAAAACUAC
Molecule: ribosomal RNA, 772 nt
Filed under: Digitalis purpurea (common foxglove)
Lineage: Eukaryota; Viridiplantae; Streptophyta; Magnoliopsida; Lamiales; Plantaginaceae
Description: eukaryotic LSU rRNA
Source: RNAcentral